UGUUUUAGUGGCGGACGGGUGAGUAACGCGUGGGCAACCUGCCUUACACCGGGGGAUAACGACUUAGAAAUAGGUGCUAAUACCGCAUAACAGGAGAACAUGCAUGUGUUUUCCUUGAAAACCACGGUGGUGUAAGAUGGACCCGCGUCUGAUUAGCUUGUUGGCAGGGUAACGGCCUACCAAGGCGACGAUCAGUAGCCGGCCUGAGAGGGUGGACGGCCACAUUGGGACUGAGACACGGCCCAGACUCCUACGGGAGGCAGCAG
This 266-nucleotide ribosomal RNA is filed under the name uncultured bacterium. RNAcentral's name for it is "partial 16S ribosomal RNA". It matches the Rfam family "Bacterial small subunit ribosomal RNA", at positions 88 to 354 of the family's 1533-position model. The record is from RNAcentral.